RNAcentral lists this ribosomal RNA (465 nucleotides) under uncultured bacterium. RNAcentral's name for it is "bacterial SSU rRNA". It matches the Rfam family "Bacterial small subunit ribosomal RNA", at positions 330 to 792 of the family's 1533-position model. The record is from RNAcentral.
GCCAGACUCCUACGGGAGGCAGCAGUGAGGAAUAUUGGUCAAUGGGCGGAAGCCUGAACCAGCCAAGUCGCGUGAGGGAAGAAGGCCCUGCGGGUCGCAGACCUCUUUGGACGGGGAGCAAGGCCGCCGACGUGUCGGCGGAAGGAGAGUACCCGUAGAACAAGCAUCGGCUAACUCCGUGCCAGCAGCCGCGGUAAUACGGAGGAUGCGAGCGUUAUCCGGAUUUAUUGGGUUUAAAGGGUGCGUAGGCGGACGUUUAGGCCGGGGGUAAAAUCGGGGGGCCCAACCCCGCUCCGCCGUUGAAACUGUGUCCCUUGAGUGCGCGAAGGGUAGGCGGAAUGCGUGGUGUAGCGGUGAAAUGCAUAGAUAUCACGCAGAACUCCGAUCGCGAAGGCAGCCUACCGGCGCGCAACUGACGCUCGUGCACGAAAGCGUGGGUAUCGAACAGGAUUAGAUACCCGAGUA